AAUUUCAUAUUAAAUUACAAAGCUUAUGCACCCAAAUAUUAGCUAUAGCUUGAAAACAGAGAAUCCUCCAGUACCCGAUAGAAAUGAAACAGAAAACUGAUUACACCAACCAAUUGAGAUUUCACCAUUCACCAAGACAGACAACAUAACAAUAUCAAAGCAAGAAGUUACAGCAAACCAGCUAUUGGUGAUAGCCAAAUGUCUUGGCAACGUCCAAAACCUAGACUCUGUCAACUAAGAAAGAAAAUAAAAGAUUACCACUUCAUAAUACAUAACAAGAAAUAGAUAAGCCAGGCAUGAAACAGCAAGAAACCAUUAAAAAAUUAGGUUAGAU
This 334-nucleotide unclassified non-coding RNA is filed under the name Hevea brasiliensis (rubber tree). Lineage: Eukaryota; Viridiplantae; Streptophyta; Magnoliopsida; Malpighiales; Euphorbiaceae. The record is from RNAcentral.